This 65-nucleotide transfer RNA is filed under the name Ilythea japonica. RNAcentral's name for it is "tRNA-Asn". The record is from RNAcentral. Lineage: Eukaryota; Metazoa; Arthropoda; Insecta; Diptera; Ephydridae.
UUAAUUGAAGCCAAAAAGAGGCAUUUCACUGUUAAUGAUAUAACUGAAGAUUACUUCCAAUUAAA